AAGAUGUUAAUACAUGCAUAUGAUGAGAUGACCUCCCGAUUGAUGAGAUGAUGAGAUCAGUCGUUCGAAGCCUGAUCUUCAACUUUCUUUUAGUUUUUGUUUCUACUUGAUAUCAUGAUUCUGGAGUUUAAACUGAUCAGGAACAGUAGAUGUUGGCAGAAAAUAAAAAUUGGCAGAUCUAGAUAUAUAAUUGGAUCAAACCUGCAUCUUCUCCCUCCCGUGGAAUGUACUGAGGGUAAUCAUAUCUAGUUGACAGGCAAUUCUGCAUCCAUGGUUGGUUAGUGUGAAAACUAUCGUGAGAAGUUUGGGCAUCGAUCACCGAAAGAAAGUCGUCUCCGACGAUCGGAGAAUCUUCUGAAUAUUUGACUCUUGGUUGCAUUACACUGUUCCUCUCGUUUUCGCAUUGCGCUGUGGACUUUCUAUGCAAUCUCGUGAGCUCAUGAUCAGCCACACAGCUAACGUACGUAAUUUCUAGUAGUCGAAGAACCAGAACGCUAUAGCUGAGGAAAGGUUCCAGACUCUAUUAUGACUGGUUGACGAAUCAGCAAACAAGUAGAAGAAAAAAAACCGUUUGGAAAAUGGAAGGGAGCAAAAAAAAAAAAAAAA
This 606-nucleotide long non-coding RNA is filed under the name Coffea arabica (coffee). RNAcentral describes it as "long non-coding RNA (CARA_LNC005177)". Lineage: Eukaryota; Viridiplantae; Streptophyta; Magnoliopsida; Gentianales; Rubiaceae. The record is from RNAcentral.